UUGUGUGAAUACAUAGCACAUUCGAGGUAGACGCAGAGAACUGAAACAUCUAAGUACCUGCAGGAAGAGAAAGAAAAUUCGAUUCCCUGAGUAGCGGCGAGCGAAACGGGAAAAGCCCAAACCAGCAAGCUUGCUUGUUGGGGUUGUAGGACUCCAAUAUGGUAGUUCUUUCAGAUAGUCGAAUGACUUGGAAAAGUCAGUCAAAGAGGGUAAAAACCCCGUAGACGAAAUGUGGAAGACACCUAGGAGGAUCCUGAGUACGGCGGAACACGAGAAAUUCCGUCGGAAUCCGGGAGGACCAUCUCCCAAGGCUAAAUACUCCCUAGUGACCGAUAGUGAACCAGUACCGUGAGGGAAAGGUGAAAAGCACCCCGGAAGGGGAGUGAAAUAGAACCUGAAACCGUGUGCCUACAACAAGUCAAAGCCCGUUAAUGGGUGAUGGCGUGCCUUUUGUAGAAUGAACCGGCGAGUUACGAUUGCAUGCGAGGUUAAGUUGAAGAGACGGAGCCGCAGCGAAAGCGAGUCUGAAUAGGGCGUUUGAGUAUGUAGUCGUAGACCCGAAACCAUGUGAUCUACCCAUGUCCAGGUUGAAGGUGCGGUAAAACGCACUGGAGGACCGAACCCACGUACGUUGAAAAGUGCGGGGAUGAGGUGUGGGUAGCGGAGAAAUUCCAAACGAACUUGGAGAUAGCUGGUUCUCUCCGAAAUAGCUUUAGGGCUAGCCUCGGAAUUGAGAAUGAUGGAGGUAGAGCACUGUUUGGACUAGGGGCCCAUCUCGGGUUACCGAAUUCAGAUAAACUCCGAAUGCCAUUCAUUCAUAUCCGGGAGUCAGACUGUGAGUGAUAAGAUCCAUAGUCGAAAGGGAAACAGCCCAGACCACCAGCUAAGGUCCCAAAAUAUAUGUUAAGUGGAAAAGGAUGUGGGGUUGCACAGACAACUAGGAUGUUGGCUUAGAAGCAGCCACCAUUUAAAGAGUGCGUAAUAGC
This 986-nucleotide ribosomal RNA is filed under the name Enterococcus faecium. Its description in RNAcentral is "partial 23S ribosomal RNA". It matches the Rfam family "Bacterial large subunit ribosomal RNA", at positions 154 to 1141 of the family's 2925-position model. Lineage: Bacteria; Bacillati; Bacillota; Bacilli; Lactobacillales; Enterococcaceae. The record is from RNAcentral.